CCUGGUCAGUUUCUCACCUACAGUUUGGGAUUUGAGAGGUCUUCAGACUCUAGGUGACGUGAUGAUGCUGCUCAUCUUCAUCACCAGCUGUAUAUGUGAUGGAGGCUGAGGAUUGUGUGGAUGACCAGGAGCUUCAAUCUGAAUCCUGACCGCCUUCUGCUUCAGUGGUUUCUGACUCCAUGACUUGGUCAUCAUGGCAACCAUCUGGAUGACUGAGGUCCCUGAUUUGACUUUCUGAGAAUCAGGCCAAGGUCUCUCUAAUAUUGCUGAACAUCAGGCUGUUAACUGCAGAGCAUCAGACCUUAUCUGUGAUCCUCCCGACGGUUUCUCUCCUAACUCUUGGUUAGAG
Long non-coding RNA from Pundamilia nyererei, 349 nucleotides. RefSeq lists it as uncharacterized. The record is from RefSeq and is a predicted model, not a curated record. The transcript is spliced from 4 exons. Lineage: Eukaryota; Metazoa; Chordata; Actinopteri; Cichliformes; Cichlidae.